Molecule: long non-coding RNA, 1386 nt
Organism: Odocoileus virginianus texanus
Lineage: Eukaryota; Metazoa; Chordata; Mammalia; Artiodactyla; Cervidae
Source: RefSeq, a predicted model, not a curated record
GUGUGCGGGGCCAAGGGAGGGUCACGGGGGGUGAGCCCUGUUUUGAAUCCUGGUUCUGUUGGCUUCUAGCCACUUUGUGAUGGCUCUGAGCCUACUCUGUCUAUGAGAAUGACAGUGCGUUGGCAGACAACAAGAGGCGCUUUGUAAACACGUAUGCAGCACGUUUAGCAUAAUUGUUCACUCGUCUCUGUCCCAAUAUCUGAAGUCUUUGUGGGCCGGACUCUGCAGUGCACUAUUCCCGCUGUCUCUCGCUCAUGGUGGUCUGUCUCCUUGGAUGCACUGAGAUUUGGAUGGCAUAGAUCGUGAAGCUGCCACUCCAUUUCUGGCCUUGCAAGAUGAUCUGAUAGAGAACAGAGAAGGAGCUUUCCUCUCUUUGGCUUGGAAAUGGUUGGAUCCAAGGGACAGCCAUGGUCACACGGUUCCAGUGACUUCAGAAUGAAAGAUUUGCCAAGCUGGAAGAAUGUAAGCCUGGAGCUGCUGGGGAUGAGCCUGGUCACUGCAUGUUGAAAGAUGAAGCUAACACAGAAGAAACCAGAACUUCAAGAUAAAGAGGGACUUUUGCAAACUCUUGAUAAGUUUUCAGAUACAGAAAUCAAUGUACUUCUUUUUUUCUCUAUCUCUCUUAAGCUGUUAGAUUUAAGUUUCUGUCACUUGUAAGAGAGAAAAUCCUACCUCAUAUGCCCAGCUGAUCAGUGAACCAGAGCCUCAGUCUCAUGAUCCAUCCAUCCAUUCACACACGUACAUUUAAUAAGUAAGGCAGUUGCUCAAUGCAUUUUUUUGGAUGAAUUAACAAAUGAAUAAUUUGUCAUGAUGUGUUUGAUGACAAAGAUAACAUCCAGUUCCCUUUAAUCCUGGUGGAGAUUUGUCAACAAAGGGCAAACCUAGUUCUGAACUCAGAACUUGGAAAUCAGUCAGGAAGUCAGUCCCCCAGGGCAGUACUGACUUUCAUCAGUGUCUUCAGCAACACAGCCGGACAUGAUCUUUCCUUUGCUAAACAUGAUUUGGUCUGCCGAUGCCACACCCCACGUGGGAGGGCCCAGGAUGUCACUGACCAGCAUGUGGGUUUUCCUGCUGGAGCUGAUGCCAGCACUAUGAGCUCUGCAGUGACAAGAGUGUGAAUUGCCAGGGAGGACUUAUUUGCUUUGCCUGAUGGGACCUGUUUUGCUUGUUGUGCAUGGUGAUCACACCAAGGGCAGAACUGCCCAAGAAACCUCAGAGCUGGUGCCAACGCUCUUGGGAUGACUGUGAAAAGAACUUGAGUCAGAGGACAUAGAAGUAAACGGGUCACAGAUCUCAAAACUCCUGUUUUUCCAAGGAAAACUAACUCACAGAGAAGAAGGGGAGUGGCCAAGGGCACUAAGAGAAUAAAAAGAGACUAGCUCUGGA